Solea senegalensis (Senegalese sole) is the source of this 158-nucleotide long non-coding RNA. RefSeq lists it as uncharacterized. Lineage: Eukaryota; Metazoa; Chordata; Actinopteri; Pleuronectiformes; Soleidae. The transcript is spliced from 2 exons. The record is from RefSeq and is a predicted model, not a curated record.
UCCAUGUCUGCGGCCACGAAGCUCGGGUGUUUCUGUCACAGCUACUAUAUCCAACAACAGCAACACAAUGUCCUGCGUGGAGAGGAGAUAUUAAUGGAGACAAAUGCUGCUCUCUCCUUCCUUUGAUCUGUUGAUGGUUACUGUGGCAACCAUUGAAG